CCUACGGGAGGCAGCAGUGGGGAAUAUUGCACAAUGGGGGAAACCCUGAUGCAGCGACGCCGCGUGAGUGAAGAAGUAAUUCGUUAUGUAAAGCUCUAUCAGCAGGGAAGAAAAUGACGGUACCUGAGUAAGAAGCCCCGGCUAACUACGUGCCAGCAGCCGCGGUAAUACGUAGGGGGCAAGCGUUAUCCGGAUUUACUGGGUGUAAAGGGAGCGUAGACGGCAGCGCAAGUCUGGAGUGAAAUGCCGGGGCAACCCCGGAACUGCUCUGGAAACUGUGAAGCUGGAGUGCAGGAGAGGUAAGCGGAAUUCCUGGUGUAGCGGUGAAAUGCGUAGAUAUCAGGAGGAACACCGGCGGCGAAGGCGGCUUACUGGACUGUAACUGACGUUGAGGCUCGAAGGCGUGGGGAGCAAACAGGAUUAGAUACCCGUGUAGUC
RNAcentral lists this ribosomal RNA (438 nucleotides) under uncultured bacterium. RNAcentral's name for it is "partial 16S ribosomal RNA". It matches the Rfam family "Bacterial small subunit ribosomal RNA", at positions 338 to 795 of the family's 1533-position model. The record is from RNAcentral.